AUGAAUUCAGGGCAGCGUCGAGGUGGUCAUGUGGGAUCCUGUCGAACAGCUCGUGCUCGCUGUCGACUUCGAUGGCAGGGUCACCCGCUCCAUCGGCCUCCUCUCCGGCAGGAUGUACUACUCAGAUUUCAUCCCCUACUUCAACUCAUACACAGAGAUCUACAUAAAUCCCCUCUGCCUCUGGUGUGCAGCAAGUUGAUGGUUCUGUCUCUGUAUUAUUGUGGAGAUUGGCCAAGUGUUAGUCGAUCUGCAAGCCGGUUUAAGAGCUUGAUUGGACGGUCCAAUUCAACACGGAGCUGA
This 300-nucleotide ribosomal RNA is filed under the name Triticum aestivum (bread wheat). RNAcentral's name for it is "partial small subunit ribosomal RNA". Lineage: Eukaryota; Viridiplantae; Streptophyta; Magnoliopsida; Poales; Poaceae. The record is from RNAcentral.